GCAUGGGUGGCUCACCUGGUGGAGCAGGCGCUCAUGUGUAAUGGUUCACUCCUCGACACAGCAGCCACAGGUUCGACUCCGCCCUACCCCUCCUUACCUGCAUGUCAUUCC
This is a long non-coding RNA of Etheostoma spectabile (orangethroat darter), 111 nucleotides long. RefSeq lists it as uncharacterized. The record is from RefSeq and is a predicted model, not a curated record. Lineage: Eukaryota; Metazoa; Chordata; Actinopteri; Perciformes; Percidae. The transcript is spliced from 3 exons.